CACCGCGGUUAUACGAGAGACCCAAGUUGACAGGUUUUCGGCGUAAAGAGUGGUUAAAUUAAUUUUAGACUAAAGCCGAAACCCCCUCAGAACUGUUAUACGUACCCGAGGGUAAGAAGCCCCUUUACGAAAGUAGCUUUAAUACUCUUGACCCCACGAAAGCUGUGAAA
RNAcentral lists this ribosomal RNA (170 nucleotides) under Helcogramma striata. RNAcentral describes it as "partial small subunit ribosomal RNA". Lineage: Eukaryota; Metazoa; Chordata; Actinopteri; Blenniiformes; Tripterygiidae. The record is from RNAcentral.